CCUACGGGGGGCAGCAGUCGAGAAUCAUUCACAAUGGGGGAAACCCUGAUGGUGCGACGCCGCGUGGGGGAAUGAAGGUCUUCGGAUUGUAAACCCCUGUCAUGUGGGAGCAAAUUAAAAAGAUAGUACCACAAGAGGAAGAGACGGCUAACUCUGUGCCAGCAGCCGCGGUAAUACAGAGGUCUCAAGCGUUGUUCGGAAUCACUGGGCGUAAAGCGUGCGUAGGCUGUUUCGUAAGUCGUGUGUGAAAGGCGCGGGCUCAACCCGCGGACGGCACAUGAUACUGCGAGACUAGAGUAAGGGAGGGGGAACCGGAAUUCUCGGUGUAGCAGUGAAAUGCGUAGAUAUCGAGAGGAACACUCGUGGCGAAGGCGGGUUCCUGGACAUUAACUGAUGCUGAGGCACGAAGGCCAGGGGAGCGAAAGGGAUUAGAUACCCCUGUAGUC
RNAcentral lists this ribosomal RNA (446 nucleotides) under uncultured bacterium. RNAcentral describes it as "partial 16S ribosomal RNA". It matches the Rfam family "Bacterial small subunit ribosomal RNA", at positions 338 to 795 of the family's 1533-position model. The record is from RNAcentral.